This is a non-coding RNA of Phrynosoma platyrhinos (Desert horned lizard), 72 nucleotides long. The record is from the annotation of a GenBank genome assembly. Lineage: Eukaryota; Metazoa; Chordata; Lepidosauria; Squamata; Phrynosomatidae.
GCUAGGGUAGCAUAGUGGUUUGAGUGUUGGACUACAAUUCAGGAGAUCAGGGUUUGAUUCCCAGCUGGGCCA